GAAACCCUGACGCAGCAACGCCGCGUGAGCGAAGAAGGCCUUCGGGUCGUAAAGCUCUGUCAUCAGGGACGAAGAAGUGACGGUACCUGAGGAGGAAGCCCCGGCUAACUACGUGCCAGCAGCCGCGGUAACACGUAGGGGGCGAGCGUUGUCCGGAAUUACUGGGCGUAAAGGGUGCGUAGGCGGUCUGUUAAGUCAGAUGUGAAAGACUCGGGCUCAACCCGGGAUGUGCAUCUGAGACUGGCGGACUCGAGUGCAGGAGAGGGAAGUGGAAUUUCUAGUGUAGCGGUGGAAUGCGUAGAUAUUAGGAAGAACACCAGUGGCGAAGGCGGCUUUCUGGACUGUAACUGACGCUGAGGCACGAAAGCGUGGGGAGCAAACAGGAUUAGAUACCCUGGUAGUCCACGCUGUAAACGAUGGAUACUAGGUGUAGGUAUCGUAGGAUAUCUGUGCCGGAGUUAACGCAAUAAGUAUCCCGCCUGGGGAGUACGGNCGCAAGGUUGAAACUCAAAGGAAUUGACGGGGGCCCGCACAAGCAGCGGAGCAUGUGGUUUAAUUCGAAGCAACGCGAAGAACCUUACCAGGCCUUGACAUCCCUAUGACGCGUAUAGAGAUAUACGUUUCCUUCGGGACAUAGGAGACAGGUGGUGCAUGGUUGUCGUCAGCUCGUGUUCGUGAGAUGUUG
Molecule: ribosomal RNA, 685 nt
Filed under: uncultured bacterium
Lineage: Bacteria
Description: bacterial SSU rRNA
Rfam family: Bacterial small subunit ribosomal RNA
Source: RNAcentral